RNAcentral lists this ribosomal RNA (494 nucleotides) under uncultured bacterium. Its description in RNAcentral is "partial 16S ribosomal RNA". It matches the Rfam family "Bacterial small subunit ribosomal RNA", at positions 28 to 507 of the family's 1533-position model. The record is from RNAcentral.
GACGAACGCUGGCGGCGUGCUUAACACAUGCAAGUCGAACGGAAAGGCCUGCUUUCCCUUGUGGAUUGCGGGUACUCGAGUGGCGAACGGGUGAGUAACACGUGAGUGAUCUGCCCCCAACUUGGGUAUAAGCCUGGGAAACUGGGUCUAAUUCCCGAUAGGACUGCAGGGUGGUGCCUGUGGUGGAAAACGAUUUUCUAGUGGUUGGGGAUGAGCUCGCGGCCUAUCAGCUUGUUGGUGGGGUAAUGGCCUACCAAGGCGGCGACGGGUAGCCGGCCUGAGAGGGUGGACGGCCACAUUGGGACUGAGAUACGGCCCAGACGCCUACGGGCGGCAGCAGUGGGGAAUAUUGCACGAGGGGCGGAAGCCUGAGGCAGCGACGCCGCGGGGGGGAUGACGGCCUUCGGGUUGUAAACUCCUUUCGACCGCGAGGAAGCCACCUGGUUGGAAGGGUGGUGACGGUAGUGGUAGAAGAAGCACCGGCUAACUACGUG